Protobothrops mucrosquamatus (brown spotted pit viper) is the source of this 218-nucleotide long non-coding RNA. RefSeq lists it as uncharacterized. Lineage: Eukaryota; Metazoa; Chordata; Lepidosauria; Squamata; Viperidae. The record is from RefSeq and is a predicted model, not a curated record. The transcript has 3 exons.
UCCUCUUCCUCUCUGGCUGUGGUCGGAUCUUUGAAGGCACACCAGAAACAAUGUUGGCUUCAUUAGACAUAGCAGCUGACUUGGCUGAAGAUACCCUACUUUGGCCAGGGCACGAGUAUGCAUUCGAAUGCCUAAUGUUUGCAAGCCUCCAUGAGGCAGAAAACCCCAUUCUAAAACAGAAGCUCCAGUGGGUGAGCCAACAGCGGCUUGAAAAGAGA